AUUAUGUGAGAUAAACAGUAAAUAAAUUUAGAAAACACUAUUUUAAAUAGAAGUGAUCACUUUAUAGACAGACAAUAUACUAAUUGUAAAUUAUGCUUAAAUAUUCAUUAAAGCCAAGUACACUUGAGUCACUCACCAGAAUGAUUAUUAUUUGUUAUAUUUAGAAGUAUUCCAUUUAAAAUAUAGAUAGACUAUUUCAAAAUUUUCAUGAAUAAAAGGCUUCUCAGUUAUUUAAAUUCAACUUUUCUACAAUAAGUAUAUAUUUUAAAAUAUAAAUUCUGGUGAUCAGUGUUAUUUUUUGCUUUUUUCUCUGAUAUUCCUGAAGGUAAAAGCAGCAAAUGAACUCUACAAAGUUUGUGUAACAAAUGUUGAAAAAAGACAAAAUGAUCUAGAAAACACCAAAAGAGAAAUUUUAACACAACUCAGGACACUUGUUUUCCAGUGUGAUCUUAUCCUUAAAGCUGUAACCGUUAAUCUGUUCCAGAUGCAGCACUUGCAGGCUGCCUCCCUUGCAAACAGUUUAGACUUUCCCUGUGAUAGUGCCAAACUUUAUGAUCCAGGCCAAGAGUACAGUGAAUUUGUGAAGGCUACAAAGUCAACUGAAGAAGAAAAAGUUGAUGGGAAUGUAAAUAAACCAUUAACAAAUAGUUCCCAGAUGUCCAGAUGUGGCCCUUCUCACUCUUUAAAGGAUGUUGUGUGCCUUCCUGACAGUUGUAAUAAAAUUGAAGAGGACAGAUUGAGUUUCCAUCCAGACUUUGCAUUUGAACAAGAUCUCCCAGGUGAUUCAC
Molecule: non-coding RNA, 788 nt
Organism: Ictidomys tridecemlineatus (thirteen-lined ground squirrel)
Lineage: Eukaryota; Metazoa; Chordata; Mammalia; Rodentia; Sciuridae
Source: RefSeq, a predicted model, not a curated record